AUCAUGGCUCAGAUUGAACGCUGGCGGCAUGCCUUACACAUGAAAGUCGAACGGCAGCGGGCCUUCGGGUGCCGGCGAGUGGCGAACGGGUGAGUAAUGCAUCGGAACGUGCCAUUGAGUGGGGGAUAACGUAGCGAAAGUUACGCUAAUACCGCAUAUUCUGUGAGCAGGAAAGCAGGGGACCGCAAGGCCUUGCGCUCUUUGAGCGGCCGAUGUCAGAUUAGCUAGUUGGUGAGGUAAAGGCUUACCAAGGCGACGAUCUGUAGCGGGUCUGAGAGGAUGAUCCGCCACACUGGAACUGAGACACGGUCCAGACUCCUACGGGAGGCAGCAGUGGGGAAUUUUGGACAAUGGGCGCAAGCCUGAUCCAGCCAUGCCGCGUGAGUGAAGAAGGCCUUCGGGUUGUAAAGCUCUUUCGGCCGGGAAGAAAUCGCAUGGGUUAAUACCCUGUGUGGAUGACGGUACCGGAAUAAGAAGCACCGGCUAACUACGUG
Molecule: ribosomal RNA, 494 nt
Filed under: uncultured bacterium
Lineage: Bacteria
Description: bacterial SSU rRNA
Rfam family: Bacterial small subunit ribosomal RNA
Source: RNAcentral